RNAcentral lists this ribosomal RNA (253 nucleotides) under uncultured bacterium. RNAcentral describes it as "partial 16S ribosomal RNA". It matches the Rfam family "Bacterial small subunit ribosomal RNA", at positions 524 to 776 of the family's 1533-position model. The record is from RNAcentral.
UACGAAGGGGGCUAGCGUUGUUCGGCUUUACUGGGCGUAAAGCGCACGUAGGCGGGUCGUUAAGUCAGGGGUGAAAUCCCGGAGCUCAACUCCGGAACUGCCUUUGAUACUGGCGACCUUGAGGCUGGAAGAGGUUAGUGGAAUUCCCAGUGUAGAGGUGAAAUUCGUAGAUAUCGGGAGGAACACCAGUGGCGAAGGCGGCUUCCUGGACCAGUACUGACGCUGAGGCGCGAAAGCUAGGGGAGCAAACAGG